AGUUGAAGGACUUGUGUCCUUUACCAAAUAGGGGUGCAUACAGUUUUCCAGGGGUUGAUUUGUGACAUCUCAAGGCCACCGUAUAAACCCAUUUUAGUUCAUUUUUGCAACAAAAUGAAAGAAGCAGCAAAUUCAAGAGAGACUUGAGAGAAUGCCGAGAAGGAGAAAUAAGAGAGGGAGUGGAAGUUUAGUGAAUUUUUUGGUGAUUUCGGUGGGAUAAAGGUGAAGGAGGGAAGGAACCGGAGCCUUAAUUUGAUCAAGGGAAGGAGAAGGUUUUGUGGAUUGGAGACCACCUUUUGUAGUAUUCGUCUCCCUCCAGACAUUAGCUAGCAUUUUAUAUUUAUCCUUAUGCACGUAUUGAGAUGAUUCAUUCUAUCGAACGAUUACGAUAUCUUACCGAGAUAGGAUGAGCACCAACAAGCUCCAGGCGGGAUUACACCAAGCGAGUAUUGGCCGCUAUGAUAUUUUAGAUGCCUCGAGGGUGAACUGUGGGCGGGAUUUGUUUAAUACUGUAUCAUGACACCCCGAUGAUAGACUGUGGGUUGAGUAUGAUUAUCCAAUGGUAAUUAUACCAUCCCGAGGUAGACUGUGGUUGGUACCACCUUGAGGAUAGACUGUGAGUGGUGUAGCUACUUGUCUGUAUUUGGGACUGACACGUGAGAGGUAUGACUUAGGUCCUUGCGUACCGAUAGUGAUUGUCUUUGGUUUAUACAAUCUUGGUAUGUGGUUCCAUUGCAACCGGAAAUAUCAUAUGGUGAUUAUUAAUUAUCAUAUUAGGGUUAUGAUGUUAUAUGGCAUGCAAACGGAUUUUCACAUGCAUGUUUUCAAAGUUAAAACAUUUGUGUCAUGUGGCCUUUCGACAUUUUUCUAUGGACAGAAGAGUUGGAUCUGCCAGAAUCCGUCGAUGUUCUUCAUCAUUUUUGUGGCACACUUAACAAUAAGUAACCAUCAGUAUAUGUAUAUGUUAAAAUUUAUUUAAUAGUUUAAGUUUUUGGGUCAAGUUGUUUCUUAACACAAGUCAAAUCUCAUGUAUGCGGCAUCUUGUUAUCUAUCUUGGUUGUAUAAUUGUUUAGUUCUGUGAGCUAACCAAUAUUUUAUUUCUAAUUUAACUAAAAGGACCCUAACAUCAGUGCUACAAUUGAAAAUUUUC
This is a long non-coding RNA of Pistacia vera, 1150 nucleotides long. RefSeq lists it as uncharacterized. NCBI's taxonomy places the organism in Eukaryota, Viridiplantae, Streptophyta, Magnoliopsida, Sapindales, Anacardiaceae. The transcript is spliced from 3 exons. The record is from RefSeq and is a predicted model, not a curated record.